This 596-nucleotide ribosomal RNA is filed under the name Coleoptera sp. NZAC03013349. RNAcentral describes it as "partial 28S ribosomal RNA". Lineage: Eukaryota; Metazoa; Arthropoda; Insecta; Coleoptera. The record is from RNAcentral.
UUCAGCGCGUCUCCGAGCUGGCGAGCGGCGGGGUCUAGCGACGGACGUCCUUCGGGACGRCUGCGCYCCCYGUCACYGCGUCCGGUUUGAACGCGUGCACUUCUCCCCUAGUAGGACGUCGCGACCCGUUGGGUGUCGGCCUUAGGCUAGCGGUGGAGCCCGCGAGGACGGUCCCGGCCGUCCCUUGCGGACCCGCGAUGCCCGGCCGGCUCGCCCGACGGUUCCGAAAUGGCUUGGAGCCGCGAUUCGUUCGCGUCCGGCCCGUCGCAAGCUCGGACGGUUGCCCGGCUGUCGGWCCUAGCYCCGACACUGGAGCCGUUCGGCUGCUGGCGGCGGAGACSUCGKACGGACUCCUAUCACGCCAGUCGKCGACGCUUUAGCUUUGGGUACUUUCAKSACCCGUCUUGAAACACGGACCAAGGAGUCUAGCAUGUGCGCGAGUCAUUGKGACUUGCUAAACCUAAAGGCGAAAUGAAAGUGAAGGCACGCUUCGKGCAUGCCUAGGGAGGAUGGKCCGCGUCACCGUGCKCGGCCCCKCACUCCAGGGGCGUNUCCUUCUCCUUCGCGAGUAGAGGCGCACCCASAGCGUACACGCU